This 537-nucleotide ribosomal RNA is filed under the name uncultured Wolbachia sp. RNAcentral's name for it is "bacterial SSU rRNA". It matches the Rfam family "Bacterial small subunit ribosomal RNA", at positions 351 to 908 of the family's 1533-position model. Lineage: Bacteria; Pseudomonadati; Pseudomonadota; Alphaproteobacteria; Rickettsiales; Anaplasmataceae. The record is from RNAcentral.
GCAGUGGGGAAUAUUGGACAAUGGGCGAAAGCCUGAUCCAGCCAUGUCGCAUGAGUGAAGAAGGCCUUUGGGUUGUAAAGCUCUUUUAGUGAGGAAGAUAAUGACGGUACUCACAGAAGAAGUCCUGGCUAACUCCGUGCCAGCAGCCGCGGUAAUACGGAGAGGGCUAGCGUUAUUCGGAAUUAUUGGGCGUAAAGGGCGCGUAGGCUGAUUAAUAAGUUAAAAGUGAAAUCCCGAGGCUUAACCUUGGAAUUGCUUUUAAAACUAUUAAUCUAGAGAUUGAAAGGGGAUAGAGGAAUUCCUGAUGUAGAGGUAAAAUUCGUAAAUAUUAGGAGGAACACCAGUGGCGAAGGCAUCUAUCUGGUUCAAAUCUGACGCUGAGGCGCGAAGGCGUGGGGAGCAAACAGGAUUAGAUACCCUGGUAGUCCACGCUGUAAACGAUGAAUGUUAAAUAUGGGAAGUUUACUUUCUGUAUUACAGCUAACGCGUUAAACAUUCCGCCUGGGGACUACGGUCGCAAGAUUAAAACUCAAAUGA